Mastomys coucha (southern multimammate mouse) is the source of this 709-nucleotide long non-coding RNA. RefSeq lists it as uncharacterized. The transcript is spliced from 4 exons. The record is from RefSeq and is a predicted model, not a curated record. Lineage: Eukaryota; Metazoa; Chordata; Mammalia; Rodentia; Muridae.
UCCUCCAGUACUGUGUCUGCUAGAACACCACCAUGCUUCCUGCCAUAUGGACUAAACCUCUUGAAACUGUAUGAAAUAUCACUCUCACAUGAGACUUUGUAUUUGGGAUUCAGAACCUAAAGUUUUGAGCCAGUAUCACACGUGCGGACACCCCAGCCUCGGCCAUCAUCAGUACGGAAGAUGCAGAGGUCGUAGCGGAUACCUUUCUGGACCACACGGUUUGGGCAGUCAUAGCCACAGCAACAGCGGGAGUUGCACUCGUAAAUGGGCUGCCCAGCUUUCAGUCGCACCUGGCCUUGGUCAUUGUAGGCAAACUUGUGCAGAGAUGCUCCAGGGCAACAGCCUCCAGUGGGUGCCAACAGACAGUCCUGGCACUCACAGCCAACAGCUACCUGGUUGAGGGUGAUGCCUUCACCAACUCGAUACUCAUUGAUAUAGACAAAGGACCUUGGAGGGCCAUCCAGGUCUACCUCAUUCUCCACGGUGAUCCGCCCCAGGUGGCUGCGCUUGGCAUUGAGCUCUUGUUCCCAACGCUGUAGUGCCCGCCUCUGCUUGGCCUUCUGCACCAGGUAUUCAACUUCAAAGUCAUACAGAUUCUUCUUAGAAACACCAAGGGCAGGACAUGAAAGCUUAGCUAGUCGGCACAGAUCCUGCAGCUGAUUCCAGGAAGAUUUACAGCACACACUGCAACCUGGAAUGAGAAGGCCAA